ACAAGUAUGAAAGACAAGCUGAAAGACUUUUCUCAAUAAUGUAAGUGGUGGUGCAUGGCCGUUCUUAGUUCGUGGAGUGGUUCGUCUGGUCUAUUCCGAUAACGAGCGAGACCUCAAUGUUCUAAAUAGGGGAGGUUGCCCGGCCUGCCGCAAGGCUUGCUAGCAGCCUCUCUUUGCGAAAGCUUCUUAGACAGAUUAGGGCUGAUAAAGUCCUUGAAAUGGGUUAAUAACAGGUCAGUAUGCCCUUAGAUGUUCUGGGCUGCACGCGCGUUACAUUGGCAAGUCCUAGAAAGCGCUUGUUUUAGAGCAUCCCCACGGCCUAGCGGCUUGUGGUAAUCCCUAAUACUUGCCCUGGCUGGGAUAGUCCAUUGUAAUUAUUGGUCUUGAACCAGGAAUUUUUAGUAGGCGCGGGUCAUUAGCCUGCGCCAA
Molecule: ribosomal RNA, 429 nt
Filed under: Physarum digitatum
Lineage: Eukaryota; Evosea; Eumycetozoa; Physariida; Physaraceae
Description: SSU rRNA
Rfam family: Eukaryotic small subunit ribosomal RNA
Source: RNAcentral